This 1242-nucleotide ribosomal RNA is filed under the name metagenome. Its description in RNAcentral is "SSU rRNA". It matches the Rfam family "Eukaryotic small subunit ribosomal RNA", at positions 528 to 1793 of the family's 1831-position model. The record is from RNAcentral.
AAUCCUUUAACGAGGAUCUAUUGGAGGGCAAGUCUGGUGCCAGCAGCCGCGGUAAUUCCAGCUCCAAUAGCGUAUAUUAAAGUUGCUGCGUUUAAAAAGCUCGUAGUUGGAUCUCAGUCUCGAUCGAGCGGUUCACCGUCUGGUGAUACUGUUUGAAUCGGACAUUCCGCCGCAUUUCUCAUCAUGCUCUUCACUGAGUGUGGUGGGAGAGUGGUACGUUUACUUUGAAAAAAUUAGAGUGCUCAAAGCAGGCCGCCGCCUGAAUAGUCGUGCAUGGAAUGAUGGAAUAGGGCCUCGGUUCUAUUUUGUUGGUUUCCGGAACUCGAGGUAAUGAUUAAUAGGGACGGACGGGGGCAUUUGUAUUGCGACGUUAGAGGUGAAAUUCUUAGAUCGUCGCAAGACAGACUACUGCGAAAGCAUUUGCCAAGAAUGUUUUCAUUAAUCAAGAACGAAAGUCAGAGGUUCGAAGGCGAUCAGAUACCGCCCUAGUUCUGACCAUAAACGAUGCCGACUGGCGAUCCGCCGUUGUUAAUUCCAAUGACUCGGCGGGCAGCUUCCGGGAAACCAAAGUUUUUGAGUUCCGGGGGAAGUAUGGUUGCAAAGCUGGAACUUAAAGGAAUUGACGGAAGAGCACCACCAGGAGUGGAGCCUGUGGCUUAAUUUGACCCAACACGGGAAACCUCACCAGGCCCGGACACCAGAAGGAUUGACAGAUUGACAGCUCUUUCUUGAUUUGGUGGGUGGUGGUGCAUGGCCGUUCUUAGUUGGUGGAGUGAUUUGUCUGGUUAAUUCCGAUAACGAACGAGACCCCGGCCUGCUUACUAGACCGCGGAUCCUUUCGUCCGUGCUGUCUUCUUAGAGGGACAACUGGCUAUACGAAAUAGCUACAUGAAAUGGAGCAAUAACAGGUCUGUGAUGCCCUUAGAUGUUCUGGGCCGCACACGCGCUACACUGAAGGGAUCAUCGUGUUCAUCCUAGGCUGAAAAGUCCGGGAAACCCGCUGAAUUCUCUUCGUGCUAGGGAUUGAGGCUUGCAAUUGUUUCUCAUGAACGAGGAAUUCCCAGUAAGCGUGAGUCAUCAGCUCGCGCUGAUUACGUCCCUGCUCUUUGUACACACCGCCCGUCGCUACUACCGAUUGAAUGAUUUAGUGAGAUAUUUGGACUGGGUAUUGCAGGCGCUUCGGCAUUUGCUUUAUCCGGAAAGAAAAUCGAACUGAAUCCUUUAGAGGAAGUAAAAGUCGUA